Molecule: ribosomal RNA, 213 nt
Filed under: uncultured Zoogloea sp.
Lineage: Bacteria; Pseudomonadati; Pseudomonadota; Betaproteobacteria; Rhodocyclales; Zoogloeaceae
Description: partial 16S ribosomal RNA
Rfam family: Bacterial small subunit ribosomal RNA
Source: RNAcentral
ACUCUUACGGGAGGCAGCAGUGGGGAAUUUUGGACAAUGGGCGAAAGCCUGAUCCAGCCAUGCCGCGUGAGUGAAGAAGGCCUUCGGGUUGUAAAGCUCUUCAGCCGGAAAGAAAUCGCGCAGGCACUAAUACUCGCGUGGAUGACGGUACCGGAAGAAGAAGCACCGGCUAACUACGUGCCAGCAGCCGCGGUAAUACGUAGGGUGCGAGCG